Molecule: ribosomal RNA, 637 nt
Filed under: uncultured Chroococcales cyanobacterium
Lineage: Bacteria; Bacillati; Cyanobacteriota; Cyanophyceae; Chroococcales
Description: bacterial SSU rRNA
Rfam family: Bacterial small subunit ribosomal RNA
Source: RNAcentral
CUGCCCGUGGGCUGGGGACAACAGUUGGAAACGGCUGCUAAUACCCAAUAAGCCGCAAGGUAGAAGAUUAAUUACCCACAGAGGAGCUCGCGUCUGAUUAGCUAGUUGGUGUGGUAAGAGCGCACCAAGGCGACGAUCAGUAGCUGGUCUGAGAGGAUGAGCAGCCACACUGGGACUGAGACACGGCCCAGACUCCUACGGGAGGCAGCAGUGGGGAAUUUUCCGCAAUGGGCGAAAGCCUGACGGAGCAACGCCGCGUGAGGGAGGAAGGCCUUUGGGUUGUAAACCUCUUUUGCUGGGGAAGGAGACAAUGACGGUACCCAGCGAAUCAGCCUCGGCUAACUCCGUGCCAGCAGCCGCGGUAAUACGGAGGAGGCAAGCGUUAUCCGGAAUUAUUGGGCGUAAAGCGUCCGCAGGUGGCUGCUCAAGUCUGCUGUUAAAGCCUGGUGCUCAACACCAUCCCGGCAGUGGAAACUGAGAAGCUAGAGUCCGGUAGGGGUAGCGGGAAUUCCCAGUGUAGCGGUGAAAUGCGUAGAGAUUGGGAAGAACAUCGGUGGCGAAGGCGCGCUACUGGGCCGGCACUGACACUCAAGGACGAAAGCUAGGGGAGCGAAAGGGAUUAGAUACCCCUGUAGUC